RNAcentral lists this ribosomal RNA (692 nucleotides) under uncultured bacterium. Its description in RNAcentral is "bacterial SSU rRNA". It matches the Rfam family "Bacterial small subunit ribosomal RNA", at positions 1 to 689 of the family's 1533-position model. The record is from RNAcentral.
UGGGCCCGUUUGAUCCUGGCUCAGAUUGAACGCUGGCGGCAUGCCUUACUCAUGCAAGUCGAACGGCAGCACGGGGGCAACCCUGGUGGCGAGUGGCGAACGGGUGAGUAAUACAUCGGAACGUGUCCUGUAGUGGGGGAUAGCCCGGCGAAAGCCGGAUUAAUACCGCAUACGCUCUGCGGAGGAAAGCGGGGGAUCCUUCGGGACCUCGCGCUACAGGGGCGGCCGAUGGCAGAUUAGCUAGUUGGUGGGGUAAAGGCCUACCAAGGCGACGAUCUGUAGCUGGUCUGAGAGGACGACCAGCCACACUGGGACUGAGACACGGCCCAGACUCCUACGGGAGGCAGCAGUGGGGAAUUUUGGACAAUGGGCGCAAGCCUGAUCCAGCAAUGCCGCGUGUGUGAAGAAGGCCUUCGGGUUGUAAAGCACUUUUGUCCGGAAAGAAAACCUCGUGGUUAAUACCCGUGGGGGAUGACGGUACCGGAAGAAUAAGCACCGGCUAACUACGUGCCAGCAGCCGCGGUAAUACGUAGGGUGCAAGCGUUAAUCGGAAUUACUGGGCGUAAAGCGUGCGCAGGCGGUUCGCUAAGACAGAUGUGAAAUCCCCGGGCUUAACCUGGGAACUGCAUUUGUGACUGGCGGGCUAGAGUAUGGCAGAGGGGGGUAGAAUUCCACGUGUAGCAGUGAAAUGC